AAAUAGUACCCCAGCGUGCGAGGUGGGGGUUUUGUGCCGUAAAAGCCAGAUGUUUGGAAGUUUUCCGCUUUAGUUUUUGAGUGUGAACAACUAGAAAACUCAGAACUUCUUACUUUCUCCGAAGCUGUCUGGGCUCGAAGAAGCCAGGAUACUGACUGCGGAACUCCUGUCUCUCUCCUCUGACUGGACUUCACGGUGGCACACGCCGUGGAAAUGCCGUCCUCCAAAGCACAUGGGUCAGAAGCAGGGACCUUCUGAUCAGGACGGCUUGUUGAGCUCAGGCUCUUGGGCCUGAUCCCGAACGGACCAUUUCUCCCAUUCAGUAGAUUGCUGCAGCAUGAGUACUGGCUAAGCAAGCUCCUCCUCCUCCUUUUUGGAGAAGUUGCAGAGCAGAAGGCAAAGAAUACGGUAGGCACGUGGGGCAAGGUGCUGUCAGAGUGAAGUGAGUUGAAGCCGGCACAGAACUGGCCACCCAAGCCACAGCUGGAGCCUGAGAUGUGACAGAAGGGAUGUGAGGCGGGGCCCUGGGGGCAUCCAAAAUGCACCCCAUCUGCUUCGGCUGUUGCCCUGGACUGAUUUAGAUUCUCUGGCCCUGACUCUGUCAGUGUUUGGAGAAAACACAAUGAUCCACUGGGAAAGCAGAGCCUGAGAUCUUGGAGGAUCUGGAGCCAUCAAGAAACCACGGGAUGCCCAUGAUACAUCCCCUCUGUUAAAACAGCUCAGGUCAAGUUUUACUUUGUUGUUUGUGGCUCUCAAUUCUUAAGGCUAUUCUUUCUGUAUAUAUGCCAAUUUUAUCCCCUUCUGUAUUCCUGUGAGAUGAUUUUGGAGCUCCCAAGUGUACUCUGAAGUUCAUAUUAAUUUUUUUUUAAUUGAGAAAUCUGUUCUAUUUACUGUAGAUCAUUAUACUUACCAAUAUAAACCCGAGGACAUUCAGUGGGUUCCUGACACCAAUCUCCGAGUCUCCAAUCCCUCAUUUUUGAGAAACUGAUAAUAACGAGCACGUCAGUGUUCCUCAGCUUACCGUGAAGCUGGAGGUAGCCACCUGACCCUGUUUUAGCCAAGGAGAAGUCAGUGGAAGUUGGUUGAGUGGGGCUUCCAAGAAAACUUUUGCUGACUCAUUUAGAAGGACCUUUUGCCCUUUGCCCUUCCUCCUGUCUAGAAUGUGUAUAUGAUACCUGUAGAUACUGCAGGCAUCUUGUGGCCAUGCCACGAUAAACCAACGCAUUAAAGAUGGUGGAGUAGAAAUACAGAAAGGAUCUGGGGCUUUCAGGGCUGUACUGAGCUGCGGAACCAACGCUAGAAACCGUCUACAUUCAGACUACCAAUCAUGGAAGAAAAAUAAACCCUUA
This 1349-nucleotide long non-coding RNA is filed under the name Equus caballus (horse). Its description in RNAcentral is "lncRNA (ENSECAG00000056932.1)". The record is from RNAcentral. Lineage: Eukaryota; Metazoa; Chordata; Mammalia; Perissodactyla; Equidae.